RNAcentral lists this ribosomal RNA (254 nucleotides) under uncultured bacterium. RNAcentral describes it as "partial 16S ribosomal RNA". It matches the Rfam family "Bacterial small subunit ribosomal RNA", at positions 524 to 776 of the family's 1533-position model. The record is from RNAcentral.
CACGUAGGGGGCGAGCGUUGUCCGGAUUUAUUGGGCGUAAAGAGCUCGUAGGCGGCUCAGUAAGUCAGGUGUGAAAACUCCAGGCUCAACCUGGAGACGCCACUUGAUACUGCUGUGGCUAGAGUCCGGUAGGGGAGCAUGGAAUUCCUGGUGUAGCGGUGAAAUGCGCAGAUAUCAGGAGGAACACCAGCGGCGAAGGCGGCGCUCUGGGCCGGAACUGACGCUGAGGAGCGAAAGCGUGGGGAGCGAACAGG